This 425-nucleotide unclassified non-coding RNA is filed under the name Hevea brasiliensis (rubber tree). The record is from RNAcentral. Lineage: Eukaryota; Viridiplantae; Streptophyta; Magnoliopsida; Malpighiales; Euphorbiaceae.
AGAUCGAUUUUGCCCCUGAAAUUGUAAGCUUGUAUUUACAUAAUUUAUUAUCUAAUCAAAAGUAUACAUCUUUAACAUUCCUGAAUUAUCUGAAGUCUAAGAUGAGACAGUUAAUAGAAAUGCUUCAUCAUAUUAUAGCUUCUUUUGUUUGAUGAAUUUUUGUGCUCUGAGAAAUUGUUGGUUUAUGCAUUGCAUUCUUAGGGCUACUACUCGAUGCCUUCAUAAUAAGCCUGAUGUCAUUUCAACUUCUUUCGCUAGUAGCUUUGUUGCUGUUUCAGUAAGAGUAGAUACCUAGUCUUGUGUGAUAGUAGUCCAGGUUAUAUGAUCAAAAUGUAGAUUUGCCUAAUGGGUACAAGUUACUGGAAGCAGGUGAUUCAUAACGGGAAUAUGUACUGUUAUUACAGGGUGAAACUAAACCUUUUAAG